This 492-nucleotide ribosomal RNA is filed under the name uncultured bacterium. RNAcentral's name for it is "partial 16S ribosomal RNA". It matches the Rfam family "Bacterial small subunit ribosomal RNA", at positions 29 to 507 of the family's 1533-position model. The record is from RNAcentral.
AGUGAACGCUGGCGGUAGGCCUAACACAUGCCAGUCGAACGGCAGCACAGUAAGAGCUUGCUCUUACGGGUGGCGAGUGGCGGACGGGUGAGGAAUACAUCGGAAUCUACUUUUUCGUGGGGGAUAACGUAGGGAAACUUACGCUAAUACCGCAUACGACCUACGGGUGAAAGCAGGGGAUCUUCGGACCUUGCGCGAUUGAAUGAGCCGAUGUCGGAUUAGCUAGUUGGCGGGGUAAAGGCCCACCAAGGCGACGAUCCGUAGCUGGUCUGAGAGGAUGAUCCGCCACACUGGAACUGAGACACGGUCCCGACUCCUACGGGAGGCAGCAGUGGGGAAUAUUGGACAAUGGGCGCAAGCCUGAUCCAGCCAUACCGCGUGGGUGAAGAAGGCCUUCGGGUUGUAAAGCCCUUUUGUUGGGAAAGAAAAGCAGCAGGUUAAUACCCCGCUGUUCUGACGGUACCCAAAGAAUAAGCACCGGCUAACUUCGUG